GAUGAACGCUGGCGGCGUGCUUAACACAUGCAAGUCGAACGAAGCAUUUAAGACAGAUUACUUCGGUUUGAAGUCUUUUAUGACUGAGUGGCGGACGGGUGGGUAACGCGUGGGUAACCUGCCUCAUACAGGGGGAUAGCAGCUGGAAACGGCUGGUAAUACCGCAUAAGCGCACAGUACCACAUGGUACAGUGUGAAAAACUCCGGUGGUAUGAGAUGGACCCGCGUCUGAUUAGCUUGUUGGCGGGGUAACGGCCCACCAAGGCGACGAUCAGUAGCCGACCUGAGAGGGUGACCGGCCACAUUGGGACUGAGACACGGCCCAGACUCCUACGGGAGGCAGCAGUGGGGAAUAUUGCACAAUGGAGGAAACUCUGAUGCAGCGACGCCGCGUGAGUGAAGAAGUAGUUCGCUAUGUAAAGCUCUAUCAGCAGGGAAGAUAGUGACGGUACCUGACUAAGAAGCUCCGGCUAAAUACGUG
RNAcentral lists this ribosomal RNA (481 nucleotides) under uncultured bacterium. RNAcentral's name for it is "partial 16S ribosomal RNA". It matches the Rfam family "Bacterial small subunit ribosomal RNA", at positions 28 to 507 of the family's 1533-position model. The record is from RNAcentral.